AUGAACGCUGGCGGCGUGCCUAAUACAUGCAAGUCGAGCGAACAGACGAGGAGCUUGCUCCUCUGACGUUAGCGGCGGACGGGUGAGUAACACGUGGAUAACCUACCUAUAAGACUGGGAUAACUUCGGGAAACCGGAGCUAAUACCGGAUAAUAUAUUGAACCGCAUGGUUCAAUAGUGAAAGACGGUUUUGCUGUCACUUAUAGAUGGAUCCGCGCCGCAUUAGCUAGUUGGUAAGGUAACGGCUUACCAAGGCAACGAUGCGUAGCCGACCUGAGAGGGUGAUCGGCCACACUGGAACUGAGACACGGUCCAGACUCCUACGGGAGGCAGCAGUAGGGAAUCUUCCGCAAUGGGCGAAAGCUUGACGGAGCAACGUCGCGUGAGUGAUGAAGGUCUUCGGAUCGUAAAACUCUGUUAUUAGGGAAGAACAAAUGUGUAAGUAACUAUGCACGUCUUGACGGUACCUAAUCAGAAAGCCACGGCUAACUACGUG
Molecule: ribosomal RNA, 496 nt
Filed under: uncultured bacterium
Lineage: Bacteria
Description: partial 16S ribosomal RNA
Rfam family: Bacterial small subunit ribosomal RNA
Source: RNAcentral